ACCAAUUUCCACCUGGAUUUGUCUUAUAAAUCUAGACGUAAUCAUCAGGUAUCUAGUAAGUGCUAAGCACUAGGCACAGGAACCAGAAGACUCAGGUUUUUAAUGGGACUCUCUCUCUGCUUAGCUGUUUAACUUCAAGCAAGGCUCUUUCCCACUUGCAGUCUUAGUUUCUCCAGCUUUCAACGCAAUUAUCAUUCCCACCCUAUUUCUGACAAGGUUGUUAUAGGGAACAAGGAGGAUACUAAACAUGAAAGCUUUUUGGAAAUAGACCAUAAACUUUUGUGUACCAAGUUCAACUUAAUCCUGACUACAAACUGUAAAUUUCAAGGCCAGAGAUCCACUAAAAUUACAUUUAUUUAAGAAAAGAAAGAAAGAAAAAGGAGGGGGCUGCCUGGGAGGCUCAGGUGGUUGAGUAGCUAACUCUUUAUCUGGCUUGGGUCAGGAUGUCAGUAUCCUGAGAUAGAGCCCAUGUUGGACUACCCAGUGGGCUAGGCACCUGCUUAAGAUUCCCUCUCUCUCCUUUUAACCCUGCCCCACCUGCACUCUAACUCUUUCUAUUUAAAAAAAUAAAAAAAUAAAAAGGACGAAGAACAACAAAAAGAAUAGAUUUAUUUUAUGACUGUAGGACGUACUCAUAAAAUCCUAUUGCAAAAAAACUAAUAUACCUGAUAUGACCCAGAAUGUCAAAAGACAGCUAGUGACUCUUGUCUUCCUCUCACCUCUCUCUGGACCAUGUGGUCUCUCAUCUCCAUUUCUCUAUCUAUCUAAUUUAUUAGAUUCCUGCAUGUUCAAUUUCUUCAUGUUCGUGACUCAAAACUCUGACUCACUCUGUAAUCCCAAAUCCACAGUUGCUGGAGAACCUGAUGUUCAUCCAAAGAUUGUCAGCCACAGCAAGGAGACCAGGAUUGCAGGAGAGAAAGGCAGCCUGUGCCUUCUCAGUAAUCAAGUUCACUAAGAUGAUAAUGGUGAUAGUGAAGAAAAUGCUUGGCACUUUAGUACAGACUGUGAUGAGCAUAAAAUUACAUAAAUAACCUAUCACCUCAUUAGUCUCAUUAAAAAGAGAAUUACUCUUCCCAAAAGCUCAGAUUAGGUUGUCUACUUAUAACAAGCAGAGAGAUGCCUCUGCAUCUAAGGCAGAGGACAGGCAUGGUCCCUUACCUGGAUAUAGCUAGUGCUAAUGGGAUAAGCUUAAACAAAAUCAAUGCCUUUGUAUUUAUCUGAUUUUUUGUGAUUCACAGUUUAAGAAGGAGAACCCUGGGAGGCCUGGGUGGAUCAAUGGUUGGAACAGCUGACUUCCGGCUCAGGUCAUGAUCCCAGGGUUCUGGGAUCGAGUCCCACAUCGGGCUCCCCUGGAGGAGCCUGCUUCUCUCUCUGCCUCUCUCUCAUGAAUAAAUAAAAUCUAAAAAAAAAAAAAAGAAGAAGAUGAAGAAGAAGAAAAAGAAGAAGAAGAAGAAAGAAGAAGAAGGAGAACCCCUCUUUGAUCCAUUUACCUUACCUGUCCCCAUUUGCUAACGAAAAACCUAUAAAGUUACUUAAAGGAUAGAAAAAUUGUUCUCUACCACUUAAGGGUCUUCUAACUGAUCUAAUAAUUAAGUUGACAAGAGAUAAAGUAACACGAGAAAAUAGAAAUUAAUCGCAGAUUUAAGAUGAAUCCACAUAAACAGGAGAGAUUUUCGAAGACAAGCAGAAUGAGGUAUAUAUCAUUCUAAACUAAGGAAAGGGGGUUAGGGGUCUGGGACUUCAAAGGGAAGGAAAGUAAUUAACAGGAAGAUGAAAUAGAGUAGAUGUUUCGUAAACAACUAUCUGUUGGGCCACAAAAAAACAAUGGGAGGGACAUCAAGAGGAAUUUUAACUAAUAUGCUUUUGCAAAGGUGCUCCCUGUCUACUAACCCACAUUCAUAUUCAUAUCAUGAUGUGGUUAUUUAUGGUAAUACCACUCUUCUGGGAGCUAGUACUCCAUGAAAAUUCUUUUAAGCAAAUAGAAGGUAGGUCUUUUUAAGCCUUUUUUGCCUUUGUUUGCAGC
This 2023-nucleotide long non-coding RNA is filed under the name Canis lupus familiaris (dog). RNAcentral's name for it is "lncRNA (ENSCAFG00000053368.1, ENSCAFG00845023894.1)". Lineage: Eukaryota; Metazoa; Chordata; Mammalia; Carnivora; Canidae. The record is from RNAcentral.